GACGAACGCUGGCGGCGUGCUUAACACAUGCAAGUCGAACGAUGAACCACUUCGGUGGGGAUUAGUGGCGAACGGGUGAGUAACACGUGGGCAAUCUGCCCUUCACUCUGGGACAAGCCCUGGAAACGGGGUCUAAUACCGGAUGAUACUUCUGCAGGCAUCUGUGGGGGUUGAAAGCUCCGGCGGUGAAGGAUGAGCCCGCGGCCUAUCAGCUUGUUGGUGAGGUAGUGGCUCACCAAGGCGACGACGGGUAGCCGGCCUGAGAGGGCGACCGGCCACACUGGGACUGAGACACGGCCCAGACUCCUACGGGAGGCAGCAGUGGGGAAUAUUGCACAAUGGGCGAAAGCCUGAUGCAGCGACGCCGCGUGAGGGAUGACGGCCUCCGGGUUGUAAACCUCUUUCAGCAGGGAAGAAGCGAAAGUGACGGUACCUGCAGAAGAAGCGCCGGCUAACUACGUGCCAGCAGCCGCGGUAAUACGUAGGGCGCAAGCGUUGUCCGGAAUUAUUGGGCGUAAAGAGCUCGUAGGCGGUCUGUCGCGUCGGAUGUGAAAGCCCGGGGCUUAACCCCGGGUCUGCAUUCGAUACGGGCAGACUAGAGUG
Molecule: ribosomal RNA, 603 nt
Filed under: uncultured soil bacterium
Lineage: Bacteria
Description: bacterial SSU rRNA
Rfam family: Bacterial small subunit ribosomal RNA
Source: RNAcentral